Long non-coding RNA from Dalotia coriaria, 2402 nucleotides. RefSeq lists it as uncharacterized. The record is from RefSeq and is a predicted model, not a curated record. Lineage: Eukaryota; Metazoa; Arthropoda; Insecta; Coleoptera; Staphylinidae. The transcript is spliced from 4 exons.
AGUUUUUUCGUUAAGUUUGCCAUCCUGCAUGCGUCUUCGUUCUUGCAAAUAGUGCGCAUGAGUAACGGGAUGUGCGCAGUCUUAUCAGCCAUUGCGCGGAAUGCUUACUCGUAGUUUCGUGCGGGUUGUUGAUCGUGUUAGACGCGUUUCGUGCGGCCCGUGUCUUGUUCAUAAAUUUUAUGCAAUAAGUGUUUUAUUUUCGUUUAUCGGUCACCUGUAUUUACGAGUACUUGUGUUUGGCGUGUUUAGGGCUUUGUUAAUGAUUAAUCGGGUGUCGAAUAUUUAAAUCUGUUCGUGUAUAAAUCGUCAUCGGUUCUUAGCGUCGUUGCAUGUUUGUUCCACGGUCAACCGCCAUAUUGUCCUUGUGAAUGUUCCUAAGGAAUUGUGUGGAAGUCAAGAAAGAAUUUUCUUGGAGAAUUCUGCGCGAAAUAUAUUCCUACCCAAGGAUCGUUUUCUAAUCGACGGCAUUGUAAUUGUUAUCAAUUGUCAUCAUCACCAUCAAAAAGUAUUUGGAAACUUUGCGCGAAAUAUACGCUCGAAAAUCGUUUUCUUAUCGCUACCAACUGUGACGGAUGCCAUCUUUCAGUUGUCCCUUGCACUCGGAAAAAGUACUUGGAGCGUUGAUACAUACUGCAUCGGAAUAUACACUCGAGGAUUUUUUGCCCUUCGAUCAAAUCGUACAUCAUUCAACUUACUACAACUUCAACGGCAGAGAAGUCUACCAGCGGGUGGAGACCUUGGAGAAGAGGAGCUGCCUUACGACGGAUAUCUCGGCCCGCUAAAGAUUGGCGUGUUAGCGACAUUAUUUUUUGCGCCCAUUUUUUAAAAUCGAACAGAUGACAGACACAUUAUUUUUUUAAACCAGUUCAAUUAAUGCGCACAUGGGAGAACGAAAAAAACUUCCCCACUUUUAAACCACGAACGCAUUCUUUAAGUUCACUUAUAAUUAGAAUUGUAUAUAUUUAGGAACCUUUAACAAUUAAUUUGAUGAAUGCUAGUGGAAUAACAUGCAGUGUAAACUCUUUAUAACGAUGAUCAAGAGUUGUGUAAUUAGUUUUUGCUUCAAUUAGUUCAUUAGUUCAUAAAGACGGAUUGUAAAGUUAUUAAGAGUUUAGAUUGUAAUGCAAAUUUAGUCGCAUCACGACUUGAACUGAAAACUGGUAGUGUUGUCUCUGUAUCGCUAUUACUUGAAAUCAUGCAAUUUAUUGUCUGCGCUUUAUUUGUUAGUAGUAAUGCGUAAUGGGAAGUAUUGGGUAAUUGUCGCACUGCUGCCUAGGUUUUGCUCGCGAGAGGGGCGUUUUAAAAUUUCACUUGCUCGUGAGAAAAGCGCCUUUGAAUUAUCACAGCGGUCUCUAGAGAUAUCGUAUUAGAUUUUCCGUGUUGUAUUAGUGUGUUACAACAUGUGUAAAUUCGAAAAUAGGGUGGUUCAGUGGGAUUUUCACCGGAAGUAUGAAAUUGUUUUAGUAUUUUUGGUGUAGCUCGCGAAUGGGGCGGGACAGAAUUUUCAACGCGGUCUCUAGAGAUGACGAAUUACAUUCUUCGCAUUGUUAUAUUAGUUUGUUGCUGAAGUUGCAUCUGCAACAUAUGAAUAUUUAAAAAUUGAGGGGUUCAGUUAGAUUUUUAGCGCGGUCUCUAGAGACAUCGAAUUAAAUUGUCCGUAGGGUUAGUAAAUUCGAAAAUACGGUGGUUCAAUGGGAUUUAAACCUAAAGUGUGAAAAUGUUGUGCGCGCAGUGGUAGAUUGUUUAUUAGCGUGUCCUCCUGUCUUCCGCGUUUCUUAUCUUUUGUGUAGUUUGUGUUGUCCAUGUAGAACUUGAGAUCUUGUUUAAUUGUGUAUAUGACGUGUGUUUUUUUCCUAUGUAUUAAUAUGUAGCUAUAUUUGUUGUUGUCUAUGUAGAAUUUGUUGUCAUAUGUAGAUGUUUUGUAUUAAUUUGUUCAUGUAUGUGUAUAGAAUAGCUGCUUUGUACAGUAGUUGUUUGUGUUUUAAUGUUUGCUUGCACCUUGUGUUGUGUGUUUUAAUGUCUCUUGUUGUUGUGUGUAAACUAAUAAAUGUCUUUUGUGUAGUAUCUAGAAAUAGUGUUAGUUUGUGUAUAAAUAGUAUUGUCCGUGUCUCGUAAAUAUGAAAUGUAAACAUGUUAUCUGUUUAGAGUAGUCGUAUUGACUUGCAGUUGACUUGUGUUUAGGUGUGCCAUAGUUGUAACUUGUUGAUAUAUCUAUUGUGUUAUCUCUGCAGGUAUAGGAACCAGUAUUGCAACAGCUUGUAACAUGUAUUGCUAUAGCAAUACUAGUAACACUGUGUUGCAUAGGCAACACAGGUAGUAUGGUAUUGCUAUGGCAGUACAAGUAACAUGCCUUGCUGUUGCAAUACAAUAUGUAUAGGUAUAAAUAAAGAAGUCUUUUAAUA